This is a long non-coding RNA of Carya illinoinensis, 521 nucleotides long. RefSeq lists it as uncharacterized. The record is from RefSeq and is a predicted model, not a curated record. Lineage: Eukaryota; Viridiplantae; Streptophyta; Magnoliopsida; Fagales; Juglandaceae. The transcript has 2 exons.
GAUGCCUGCUAUGUCUCUUUCAUUUCAAAUAGGUCCAAUUUAACAUAUCCUAAUCAUUCUUUUAUCAUACACUCUAUAAAUAAGGGUUUUCUUUUGGCUAAAGCUAAAGCUACAACAACCUAUAUGCUCUCCAAUAUCAUGAAGGCCUUCUACAUAGUAAGUUUUCUUUUGGCUUCCAUCAUCUUUGUUCCUUCCUCUAUAACAGCUCCGGAACUAUCUCAAUUAGGAGAUAAAAGUGCUCUAGGGCGUAAGCUUGCGGCACCACUGCCGGUUGGUAACACUAAAUGCUGCGUGCCUUUCAAGAAGCUGCCGAUGAAUCGGGCUCGCACGGCGUGUCCGCCAAACCCUCCCAAGUGCCAUCCUUGAAAAAAGAUGGUAAUUAUAUUAAGCUGGUUAUUGUAAUGAAAUAAGAGUGAAUGCAUGACAAAGAAUAAUAAUUUUGCUUUGUGUCACACAAGGCUAGCUUGCAGGAAAGUACUAUAUAUAUAUAUAUAUAUAUAUAUUUAUAGAAUAUAGUGUAA